Gallus gallus (chicken) is the source of this 1818-nucleotide long non-coding RNA. The record is from Ensembl. NCBI's taxonomy places the organism in Eukaryota, Metazoa, Chordata, Aves, Galliformes, Phasianidae.
ACUGCUACUGGUCUGGUUGUUUUCUGUGUUGGCAGAUUUUCCAAUACCUUUCUGCUUCCUGCAAGUGGGAACAGCUGCAGUGUUCCAAUUACAUCUCAGUCCCAAGCGCCUCAAGGACACUGCUCUUCUGCAAAGGAUCCGAGGUGAAAAGGGUGAUAAUGUUCUCUGUCACAGAUCUGUGGAUUCUUAAAGAGAAGUUCUCUUGGGAGAGACCGUAUUACAGGCAGUGUUGCAGGCAUCCUCACUCCUUGGAAAAGCUUAUUUCUUCAGAUGGGAGUUCAGAAGCGUUGGGCCAGAGCAAAAUGAGCAUUUUGUCAUUAGUGUGCUGCUGUUAAGACGGGAACAGCUCAUCCUGUGUGCCCGUGUAUAAUGGAAGUGUCUGCUUCUGGUAACUGCUGUUUGUCCAUGAUGACUCGGGUGAGCACCUUGUCACUGUUGUGUCUUGGAUCCAUCCCUGCAUUUUGCAGGGUCUGGAUCUUGGUAUGCCGGCUAGUGGAAGAAGCAAGGGAGAACUUCAGUAAGAAAAGUCCUUUAAACUGCUUUCAAGAAGAACAUUUCAUUAAAGCAUUUAUUUCUCUUUUCAACACCGGUGCCUGGAAAACCAUUUAUUUUGAUCUGUGAGACUUUAUUUAGAUUAACAGUUACCCUAAAACCAUAAUAGCCAUUAUAAAAUAUGAUCGUUCUCAUCUUAAGAGUUUGGGAGUAAUUGGAUUUGUCUGGGCUGCUGCUGGUGAAGUGCUCACCUCCCAACACCUGGGACCAGCAGUGCUUAAUUGGACCUCAGCUGCGCAGCACAGCUACGCUUCCCUCUGGCUGCAGCAGCAGGAGGGAGCAGGCGUUCACAGGCUGAUUAGCUGUUGCUGGUCCGGUUGAUGAUUUUCUCUUUCCAGCUAUUUUCUCGAGUUUGUAAUGCUGUGAAAGAACUGCACUGGAAAACAAACAGAAGAAAAUGUGCCAUCAUGCCUUAGCAAGAGGAGAGCCUGAGUUUGGACACUCCAUGUUUCUUCUUGAUGUUCUGAGAUGCUAAUGUGGGCCUCACAUACCAUGGAAGCCUUUCUGGUGGAGGACUGUAAAUCUUUAAAGGGAGAUAACGAUAGAAUUGCUGAUGCGACCUGAUUAUAUCAGUGUGAAUGGGACUGCCAAAAUACAAUUAAAGAAACAGCUUAUAUUCUCUGUCUUGUAGGCAGGAUACAAUUGUUCAUGUCAUUACCACACUUGUUAUUUUCCUGGUGACAAUUGAUUUAACGUACUGUUUGGAAAACGUAUGUGCUUAUUCUCUCAGUGCUGAUUUAUGAUGUGAUAAGAAAGUGCCAAACUUCUUAGCAAUAAAAGAGGUUCUGUGCAGUGUGGUAUGCAGUCAGCAUCUCAUCCUCCAGUCCCUGAAGACUAAUGGAUAGACUGAAGGAAUUACUGCUGACUGCCGUUCGGUGCAGAGGCAUUUAAUACAGGUGAUGUGUGGCACAAGGCUGCCUGGUUCUGCUAUUGUGCCCAGAGAACUGGGAGGCAGAAUGCUAGCUGCAGUUCUGUGCUAUGGCAUAAAAGGCUCCAACUUUGCACAACCCGUGGCUGUGUGCGCUGGUGUUGCUGGGAGAGGUGGUGGCUGUAUAUGUGGGGGCUCUGUGAGGGCUGUGCCUAGCUCCUCCAGCCCUGCCUCAUGCCUGCUCAGUAGGCUUUGCAAUCUGUGCCGUAAUAACUCUUCUUUACUCACUGCAUUCAUUUUGUCCAAGGUUUGUCUGGUUUUGGAAUAGAAACUGGAAUUAAACUUAUGCAGAAAAAUGGUACUUUGAAGUAAAAAACCAGUAUAUGCACUGCAUAAUG